RNAcentral lists this ribosomal RNA (380 nucleotides) under uncultured eukaryote. RNAcentral describes it as "partial 18S ribosomal RNA". It matches the Rfam family "Eukaryotic small subunit ribosomal RNA", at positions 592 to 976 of the family's 1831-position model. The record is from RNAcentral.
CAAUAGCGUAUAUUAAAGUUGUUGCGGUUAAAAAGCUCGUAGUUGGAUUUCUGCCGAGGACGACCGGUCCGCCCUCUGGGUGUGUAUCUGGUUUGGCCUGGGCAUCUUCUUGGAGAACGUAGCUGCACUUGACUGUGUGGUGCGGUGUCCAGGACUUUUACUUUGAGGAAAUUAGAGUGUUUCAAGCAGGCACACGCCUUGAAUACAUUAGCAUGGAAUAAUAAGAUAGGACCUCGGUUCUAUUUUGUUGGUUUCUAGGGCUAAGAUAAUGAUUAAUAGGGAUAAUUGGGGGCAUCUGUAUCAACGCGUCAGAGGUGGAAUUCUUGGAUUGCGUUGCGACAAACUACUGCGAAAGCAUUUGCCAAGGAUGUUUUCAUUGA